ACAAUGAUGGUCAUGUCUCCUCUCAACCUUCUCUUGAGAGAAGGUUGAGAGGAGGCUUCACACCACCAGCUCCCUAUGCCACUGCUCAUAGGCCAUGACAUCCACACUUUUGAUCAUGGAUAACUGAUUUCCAUUCUUGCAUGGAAUCUUGAAAUUUUAAUAAAUGAUACAAACACCAGGGGAAAAAUAGAAGCUGUUAUCCACAAUUGCAGAACAGGAGAUGGAAUUUUGUUUUGUUUUUUAAAGGAAAAUGUUUCUCUAAUGUCAGAAAACCUUGGUGAAGAGAAUCUUGAACUGAAAAGAAUCUUCACAGUUUAGGGCCUAUUUACACAAACUUCACACAAAUAAAUGUAAGUGUGUGUGUGUGUGUGUGUGUAUAAACACAUGCAGUGCACAGACAUAAGAAUUUUGUGGUGCUUCUGGGUAGUUUUGUGGAAAAUGCUGUAGGCCAAAAAACAAACAAAAAUAACCCACAAAAUGACAUGUGAAUUGUACGCUGAAUAAGUUCCAAGCUCUGUGUGGUUUUCAGAAUUUUUACAUCGUUCAUUUGUUUUUAAAGACAUUUCCAGAGAAGAAAUCUAAAAUUACCUGUUGCUUCCUUCAAUAAUGAAAUUAAUGAAGAAUUGCAUCCCUAGUAAAUAUACACAUUGAGUGUAGACCCAGUUAUGUGACAAUACCUUUCUUUAGUUUUUUAAACUUAAAAGUGACUUGGGGAGAAGAGGGAGGGUGGAUGAGGGAAGAUUUUAAAUUGUGAUUUGUUGUCUGAACUGUGAUAUUGUAUAAAUUAUAUAUAUCAAAAAGACAACAUCAUUUUAAUUUGUUUAGAUACAUCCAGUAUUUAUAUGAUUCUAUUUAUGGCUCAAUGAUCUGUGUUGCUUGUAAAUACUUUUGUGCAUCAGAAAAACUGUAAAUAAAUUAGAUGUUAAUUAUUGACUGCAGAGUUUUGAUAAGGAGUACUCAAGAAUGUUUGUAUGAUGAAGCUUCCUCCCCGCCCCCGCCCCCCAUUCCCCUUCUUUGACUCUUCCCAUGCUUCAGUUAAUUUCAUUUUUAAGAGACCAGCCACAUCGCAACAACUUGGUAGGGGGUUGUCAACCUUUCUCCCAGUUUCCAGCAAGCCCUGUGAUGCGAAUAAGUAAAGUUCAACCUGCUUUUCCUUUUCUUUUGAGUAAAACAAAUUCAUACUUCUUCUCCAUCUACAAUAGCUUUUCUUUCACACAUGCCAUGCCCCCUUCUUUAUGUGCAGCUGCCAACUAAUUACCAUGCUGCUAACCUUAGCAACACUGAUGCCAGACUUUUGCACUGCAGCUAUUGACAGAGUCUGUACAGAACUGAAUGCUGCCUAGCAGAAGGAAUAAUUGCAAAAUGAGAUGCUGCCUUCAAUUAUCACGAAUGCUAGCUGCUGCCAACUGCAGUGAGAGUUUCUCAGAUACACAUCAAGGAGUGGGUCUUCUGUCAUCAGUUUUGGGAUGAAGAGUCUCUCCUACUUACUCUUUUUAGGUGAGCUUGCUAUCCAUUACCCAUGUAUGGUGUACUCAGGGACCAUGUUCAAAAAGACCAGAUGGACCACCUGUCACUUUGGUUUUUAAGAUGUCAUCUCUGUGAAUUCACUCACAACCCACCAUUCCUGCCUGCUUUGUCACAUUUAAAGUUACUUGUUAUUUUUUCUGCGUAGGCUGAUAAAUCCUCCUCCUCCUCUCUCUUUCCUGGAUGCAUUUUGGAAGAAUAUCUCAAGUGAUCUCUAAAAGUUUCAAAAUGUUUAUGUUAACAUAUGUACAGCUUGCUUGACCUGGUUGUUCACUUCACAUAUACAUAUUGUAAACUUGAAUAAAAAGUCUGCUGAAAAAGCUUGAA
Molecule: long non-coding RNA, 1851 nt
Organism: Anolis carolinensis (green anole)
Lineage: Eukaryota; Metazoa; Chordata; Lepidosauria; Squamata; Anolidae
Exons: 3
Source: RefSeq, a predicted model, not a curated record